This is an RNA transcript of Dendrobium catenatum, 2517 nucleotides long. It is a transcript of the gene named molybdopterin biosynthesis protein CNX1, with no coding region annotated. The record is from RefSeq and is a predicted model, not a curated record. The transcript has 14 exons. Lineage: Eukaryota; Viridiplantae; Streptophyta; Magnoliopsida; Asparagales; Orchidaceae.
UGUUGUAUCAGACCUAUUAAUUUCUCACGCAGAAGACAGGCCGGCAAGCGAGGGAGCCAGAAAAUUUGCAGCCUGGUACCGCCACAGCACCCCAGCCGUCAUGAGUUCAACUGCGGCGGCGCCAACUGGUGGAAUGAUCCCCGUGGAUGAAGCAUUGGCCAUGGUGCUGCAAGCGGCGGCGCGCCUGCCGUCGGUGAGCCUCCCCCUCGUAGAGGCUCUCGGACUGGUGCUUGCCGAGGACAUCCGCGCUCCCGAUCCCCUCCCUCCUUUUCGUGCUUCCAUCAAGGAUGGAUAUGCUGUAGUGGCUUCAGAUGGUCCUGGCGAAUAUCCAAUAAUUAUCGAAUCAAGAGCCGGAAAUGAUGGUGCUGGUGUUGAACUUACCCCUGAAACGGUUGCAUAUGUGACAACUGGAGGUCCAAUACCUGAUGGUGCAGACUCUGUUGUACAAAUUGAGAAUUCUACGCCAGUGAAUGGCACCGCUGAUGGAAUGAAGAUGGUUAAGAUACUGGUGAAAGUUCCACGAGGACUUGAUAUACGUGAAAUGGGUUCAGACAUUGAGAAGGAUGCUGUAGUAUUGAAGUCAGGUGAGUUAUUAGGCAGUGCUGAAAUAGGUUUGCUUGCUACUGUUGGAGUUACCAUGGUGAAGGUGUACCCUAGACCAAUGGUGGCUGUACUUUCUACAGGAGAUGAAUUGGUGGAGCCAUCAACUAAAAGUCUAGGCAGAGGCCAGAUUAGAGAUUCUAAUCGAGCUAUGCUACUUACAGCUGCUCUUCAGCAGCAGAGUAAAGUUGUAGAUCUUGGAAUUGCUCGUGAUGAUGAAGAAAGCAUUAAUAAGAUAUUUGAUACAGCUAUUGAAUCUGGGGUUGAUAUAUUGUUGACUUCUGGUGGUGUUUCCAUGGGAGAUAAAGAUCUGGUGAAGCCUAUGUUGGGAAGAAAGGGAACCAUUCUUUUUGAAAAGGUUUUCAUGAAACCUGGAAAGCCUUUGACAUUUGCUAAGAUUAGCGCCAAAUCUGAAGAUAAAGGAAGUGCUAAGACAGUACUUGCAUUUGGUUUGCCUGGAAAUCCUGUGAGCUGUUUGGUUUGCUUCCAACUUUUUGUUGUUCCUGCUAUACGUUGUCUGUCUGGAUGGCCAAACCCUCAGCUUACAAGGGUGCAUGCUCGCAUUGCUCAACAAAUAAGGACCAGUGCGGAUAGACCAGAGUAUCAUCGCGCCAUUUUAAGAUGGGACUUUGAUGAUGGAUCUGGCUUACCAGGUUUUGUUGCUGUGAGCACAGGAGGACAAUUGAGCAGCCGUCUUAUGAGCAUGAAGUCUGCAAAUGCUUUACUGGAGUUACCUGCAACAGGGCAGAUGCUUGGUGCUGGAACUUCUGUUCAAGCAAUACUGCUUUCUGACAUAGGCAGCUUUCCUUUGAACCAUUCAGACAAAGUGACACCAAGCGCAUCUUCCCAUACUGAUGGUACUGCCAAUUGCUUGCAAACUGGUAUUGUGCUCAAAGAGAGGAAUGUUAAGGUUGCUAUUCUUACUGUGAGUGACACCGUUGCAAAUGGGGUUGGCCCUGAUAGGAGCGGUCCCAGAGCUGUUUCUGUUGUGAAUACUUCAUCAGAAGCACUGGGGGGUGCAUCUGUUGUUGCAACAGCUGUAGUUCCGGAUGAGGUGGAUAAAAUAAAAGAAGUUCUGAAAAAAUGGAGUGAUAUUGAUAGGGUUGACCUUAUUCUAACUUUAGGUGGCACGGGCUUUACUCCAAGAGAUGUUACACCUGAAGCCACAAAGGCAUUACUGGAGAAAGAUGCUCCUGGUCUGUCCUUUGUAAUGCUUCAAGAGAGUCUAAAGGUCACACCUUUUGCUAUGCUUUCAAGGGCUGCAGCUGGUAUCAGAGGAUCAACGCUGAUAAUCAACAUGCCAGGGAAUCCAAAUGCAGUGGCUGAGUGUAUGGAGGCUUUGUUUCCAGCACUCAAACAUGCAUUAAGGCAGAUAAAGGGCGACAAGAGAGAGAAGCAUCCACGCCACAUACCACAUGCUCAGUCACAGCCUACUGAUCAAUGGGAGAAGAGCUUUAAGACAGCUACUUCAGGCUGUUAAUUAAUGGUUCGUUUGGGAUGACUUUUUUACUGCUUUUUAAAUCAACUUUUUAGUAAAAAACUAAAAAUUUUGAACUAUAAAGUUGUUUUACGAAGCAGGAAGAAAACCGUCCCAAACGGAACCUAAUCCUCGCGGUGAACUGGCUUCACACUUCCAACUUAAACUACAACUCUUUCUGAUGUGGAAACUUUCUGGAUAUGGCUGUGAACCUUGAAGAUGAAAGGUAAUUAGCUCAGCAUAAUAUAUGCUUUAGCUUAGCUGGAGAUGGGUGGAUGCAGAAUCUUUAUAGGCUAUGUUUGGAGACUGGAAAUUGUGAGUCUAAUGAAUGGUUUCAUCUCAUUUACUUUCACUUUUCGCUGUACAAUCAAAUCCUUAAUAAAGCAAACCUUGUAGGAUUUGGUUUUAAAUCUUAAUUCAAAUAAAUCUGCUUUCUUUCA